Molecule: long non-coding RNA, 1052 nt
Organism: Hordeum vulgare subsp. vulgare (domesticated barley)
Lineage: Eukaryota; Viridiplantae; Streptophyta; Magnoliopsida; Poales; Poaceae
Exons: 3
Source: RefSeq, a predicted model, not a curated record
AGUAACCUCUUUCUUCUUAUUGAUUACUGGCUGGUUAGUAGGUUGCACAAAACUGCUUUCACCUUCCAUCUUGAUAUACCAUAGAUUGCAACCAUAAUUUAGAAAUUCCAGUUACGAAAAAGCAAAACUAACACUAGAUAAUGACAGGCUUUGUUGAUAUCUUCCGAUUCAGAGAUCAAUUAAUCACAGUACUUUGUAGGAAGAAUUAUCAUAACUGAAACUAGAUAAUCCCAAAAGGUUCAAUGAGCAUGAGUAUAAGCAGUUAAAUUGAAGAAACUAUGGAUUUUCCUCAACAAGUUACUUAGUUAGUGUACAUAACUAGCACUAUGUUAUUGUUCUCAGAUCAACAACAAAUAAUACAUCUUGCAUAUCAACCAACAGGGUAAAUUCUACAUCAAAUCUACGUGUGCAUGCCCUUUUUCCAACCAAAAUUCUUUUUGUGCCUAAGGAAAGUCGCCGAUGGGAGAAGGUCAAUCAACGAGAAAGGAAGAAGAUCAAGAAGAGAGGGAGUGGUAUUCUAACACCUAUGCGCUCCAACGCCUCCGCCGCCACCAGAAGGUGCCCUAGGAGCGCCGCCACUACACUCCCACCCCGUUUCUGGUAGACAGGUGGAAGAGACCGAUCCAUGAAUCCCCCCCCAGGUCUUAUCUGGUCAUGAAGAUGGUUUUUCCUUUUUUCCUUAUCUUGUUCGGCUGAACAACACACAAGUGGGCCGUCCACUGAGAACACUUUCCCCAUAUAAAGAGAUAUAGAUGUUUCUUCUCUGUUCUCUCCCACCUUCGCUCGUUGUCGGUGCUCCCCGAAUCCUCUCUUCAUCGAAAAAAUUAUGUUGCCGUUGUUUCAUAUCCAAUCAAAAGAUGGAACAAGGAUGUACAAAGAAGAGGGAGGAGAAUAAAUUGUAAAUGAAUGGAAAAGAUGCAAGUAGUUGACAUCGACGGAAUUUCACAAUACGAUUGGUGCUUGCUAGCCCUAAGCUACAUGGUUUAGUCAAUAAAGAAAGCAAGAAUGAAGAACACAAGGAGCAAAAAGUUCAUUCCUCGUGGAAGUAGAUA